Molecule: ribosomal RNA, 1254 nt
Filed under: Alkalibacillus silvisoli
Lineage: Bacteria; Bacillati; Bacillota; Bacilli; Caryophanales; Bacillaceae
Description: bacterial SSU rRNA
Rfam family: Bacterial small subunit ribosomal RNA
Source: RNAcentral
CACGUGGGCAACCUGCCUGUAAGACUGGGAUAACUCCGGGAAACCGGGGCUAAUACCGGAUAACACAAAGAACCGCAUGGUUCUGUGUUAAAAGAUGGCUCUGCUAUCACUUACAGAUGGGCCCGCGGCGCAUUAGCUAGUUGGUGAGGUAACGGCUCACCAAGGCCACGAUGCGUAGCCGACCUGAGAGGGUGAUCGGCCACACUGGGACUGAGACACGGCCCAGACUCCUACGGGAGGCAGCAGUAGGGAAUCAUCCGCAAUGGACGAAAGUCUGACGGUGCAACGCCGCGUGAGUGAUGAAGGUUUUCGGAUCGUAAAACUCUGUUGUUAGGGAAGAACACGUGCUGUUCGAAUAGGGCAGUGCCUUGACGGUACCUAACCAGAAAGCCACGGCUAACUACGUGCCAGCAGCCGCGGUAAUACGUAGGUGGCAAGCGUUGUCCGGAAUUAUUGGGCGUAAAGCGCGCGCAGGCGGUUCCUUAAGUCUGAUGUGAAAGGCCACAGCUCAACUGUGGAGGGCCAUUGGAAACUGGGGAACUUGAGUACAGAAGAGGAGAGCGGAAUUCCACGUGUAGCGGUGAAAUGCGUAGAUAUGUGGAGGAACACCAGUGGCGAAGGCGGCUCUCUGGUCUGUGACUGACGCUGAGGCGCGAAAGCAUGGGUAGCGAACAGGAUUAGAUACCCUGGUAGUCCAUGCCGUAAACGAUGAGUGCUAGGUGUUAGGGGGUCCAACCCUUAGUGCUGCAGUUAACGCAAUAAGCACUCCGCCUGGGGAGUACGGCCGCAAGGCUGAAACUCAAAGGAAUUGACGGGGGCCCGCACAAGCGGUGGAGCAUGUGGUUUAAUUCGACGCAACGCGAAGAACCUUACCAGGUCUUGACAUCUUCGGACCACCCUAGAGAUAGGGUCUUCCCUUCGGGGACCGAAUGACAGGUGGUGCAUGGUUGUCGUCAGCUCGUGUCGUGAGAUGUUGGGUUAAGUCCCGCAACGAGCGCAACCCUUGAUCUUAGUUGCCAGCAUUCAGUUGGGCACUCUAAGGUGACUGCCGGUGACAAACCGGAGGAAGGUGGGGAUGACGUCAAAUCAUCAUGCCCCUUAUGACCUGGGCUACACACGUGCUACAAUGGAUGGUACAAAGGGAAGCGAAACCGCGAGGUCAAGCCAAUCCCAUAAAGCCAUUCUCAGUUCGGAUUGUAGGCUGCAACUCGCCUGCAUGAAGCCGGAAUCGCUAGUAAUCGCGGAUCAGCAUGC